RNAcentral lists this unclassified non-coding RNA (2951 nucleotides) under Polistes dominula (European paper wasp). Its description in RNAcentral is "inactive dipeptidyl peptidase 10, transcript variant X3". Lineage: Eukaryota; Metazoa; Arthropoda; Insecta; Hymenoptera; Vespidae. The record is from RNAcentral.
AGCGCAGGUAUUGCAUCGCGCAAACUCCGCCCUUGCAGCAUCCAGACCAUCAUCCAGAGAUUUGCCCUCAGUGCCAAAGGUCCACACAUUGCAAGUGGAACGGAGAAAUACAAAAGUGUACUUCUGUGUGUUUUUAACAGGUAAAAUCAUACGGUUUGCCUUUAAAUUGAUGAUGAUUUCAGAAGUUUACGAAAGAUAAAGGACGAGCAUCGCUCUGUCCUGUUGAUCUCUUUGAAGUGGACGUGAGAGACAAGAGCUACUUUCCUAAUGGCAGAUCACGAUAAUAUUUACGACGACGAGGAGCUAGUGUCGGCUAAUCCAAAUCAAAGGAAUUGGCGUGGGAUUUUAAUAGCUUUGCUCGUGAUCGUUGCGGUUUUAGCCCUUAUUGUCACGUCAGUUGCUUUACUCACACCACCUGAUGAAGGGCCCAGAGUUCGUGGUUCACGUUUACAACUCACCGAGCUUCUUUCGGGUGAAUUGUCUCCGUUGCUCUUUAAUGGAUCUUGGGUGAGCAAUCGUCAUAUAUGCUAUAGGGAUUUUUCAGGUGGUAUUUCUUUAAUGGAUGCAUCUGAUGCGAAUUUAGCAUCGCGUAGGUUGAUGUCAAAAGAAACAUUUAGAAGAUUAAAUCCUGCCAAAUUCUCGCUAUCACCGGACCACAAUUAUUUGUUACUUGCUCAAAAUAUGAAAAAAUUAUUUAGAUAUUCUUAUUUAGCUCAAUAUAUAGUCUAUGAUGUGGAAACACAAGAUAUAAUACCAUUGACACCUCAUCCCGAAAAGGAAAAUCAUCCAUAUCUGUUGUUAGCUAAAUGGACACCUCGUGGCCAUGGACUCGUUAUGGUACAAGAUUAUGAUAUUUAUUAUAGAACGGGUCCUUUGAGUAACAGGGGUUAUCGCAUAACUGAUACUGCAAUACCUGGAAUUCUAUCUAAUGGUCUACCAGAUUGGUUAUACGAAGAAGAAAUUUUACAUAGCGCCGAAGCAAUCUGGAUGUCACCCGAUGGUCAUAUGAUGCUUUAUGCAUCAUUUAAUGAUUCGUUAGUUGAAGAAAUGCAUAUUCCUUGGUUUGGAGAAGAAAACAGUUCUUUGUAUCCUGAUAUACGAUCUUUGAGAUAUCCUAAGCCAGGAACUCCAAAUCCUUUUGUGAAUCUAUAUGUCGCUGAUCUUGUUGAUCUAAAGAAUAUUCAGACGAGAGUAGUGAAACCACCCCUUGUCAUCGAACACGUAGAUCAUUAUUUUACUACUGCUUCCUGGGUAUCAGUAACGGAAAUUUGUAUAUCGUGGUUAACCAGAACUCAGGAACUCUCAGUCGUAACAAUUUGUAAAAGUCCUAGGUGGCAUUGUCAGGAGAUACAAAGAAUAGAAAGUUAUAAACCCGGAUGGGUUGACACACCACCAGAGGCACCACUAUUCUCAACUAAUGGCAGCAGUUACAUAUCGAUCAGUCCUGUAUCAGAUGGACAUGCUGGGUUUUUUAAGCAUAUUGUACUAGUAAAUGUACUUCGAAAGACACAGACAUCCUUGACACAUGGACGAUUAGAAGUUGUUAAAAUAUUAGGGUGGAAUAAAGUCAAUAAUACCAUAUAUUUCAUAGGUAUACCACCAAUGCGUCCUGGGCAAAGACACUUAUAUCGGAUCAGUUCACUUAUACCUCAGGAUAUUUCGCCGCAUCCUGCAAUUUGCAUCACGUGUAACGCUCAGUUUACUAAAAUAAAUAACAAUCAAAGCAGCUACCACACAACAUUUUCGGAUCGUCGUAAUGGAUGGAUGGGAAAUAAUUUGCACGAGGAAUAUGAUGUACAAACGGAAAGUCCUGAAGAUAAGGAACAACGACGUGCAAAAGAAAAAGCGAAAAAGCAGAAAUCAAAAGCUUCGCACGCUUCUAAUUUGGAGGAACCACCUUGUCAAUAUCAUCACGCCAUUUUUCCAUCUUACGGAUUGGACUACUUCGUUCUAGAAUGUCUUGGUCCUGGGAUACCUACGAUCUCACUUUAUAAAAUUGAUACGCCAAUGCCACGAUUGUUGACUGUUCUACAGAAUAAUACAGCGUUACGCGAAAAAAUAUCUAAGAUCGCUCUCCCGCAAGUGAAAACGUUCCCGGUACAGAUAAGUGGUGGUUACAAUGCACAAGUAAGAUUACAUUUACCACCUGGUUUGCGAGAAGACGAAAUCACGCGUUAUCCUCUAGUUGUACAGGUAUAUGGAGCACCAGGGUCUCAGUUGGUGACGGAGAUGUUUAAAAUCGAUUGGAAUACAUAUUUAGCCAGUCAGAAAAAUUUUAUUGUAGCUCAGAUAGAUGGUCGAGGUAGCGGAGGUCAAGGAUACGAACUACUUCAUGAAGUUUAUUAUAGACUUGGUACUGCCGAAGUAGCUGAUCAAUUAGAAGUUACGGAAUAUUUGAGAGAUUCGUUACACUUUAUAGACAAACGGUGCGUCGCAAUUUGGGGUUGGAGUUAUGGUGGUUUUGUUGCAACAUUAGCUCUAGCUCAUCCCGGACAAACCGUUUUUCAUUGUGGAAUAAGCGUGGCACCUAUCGUUUCAUGGAAACUCCAUGAUUCUGCUUAUACCGAGAGAUACAUGGGAUUACCAAACUUUACUUCUAAUUAUCAAGGUUACGUUGAUUCUGAUGUUUACAACAAAAUCGAGUAUCUACGUAAUAAAAUGUUUUAUUUAGUCCACGGAACUGCGGACGAUAACGUUCAAUUUCAACAAUCCAUGGCACUUGCGCGUCACCUUGCGAAAAAGGCCAUUCUCUUUCGACAACAGUAAUUACAAUGCAACAAGAAGCUGAUCGGACAUGAUAUGGAAAGAAAAAAUCGUGGAUUCUUAUAUUUGAGUAUCAAAUAUGUACAUACAUAAAAUUUAAAAGUGUAUCCAGAUGUGAGUCAUACUUUAACGGGUGUAAAAAAACACUUAUACUUAUCCAUGGCUCAGUUUUUGGAAGAUUGCUUCCA